This 712-nucleotide ribosomal RNA is filed under the name Escherichia coli. Its description in RNAcentral is "partial 23S ribosomal RNA". It matches the Rfam family "Bacterial large subunit ribosomal RNA", at positions 481 to 1194 of the family's 2925-position model. The record is from RNAcentral. Lineage: Bacteria; Pseudomonadati; Pseudomonadota; Gammaproteobacteria; Enterobacterales; Enterobacteriaceae.
UGACCGAUAGUGAACCAGUACCGUGAGGGAAAGGCGAAAAGAACCCCGGCGAGGGGAGUGAAAAAGAACCUGAAACCGUGUACGUACAAGCAGUGGGAGCACGCUUCGGCGUGUGACUGCGUACCUUUUGUAUAAUGGGUCAGCGACUUAUAUUCUGUAGCAAGGUUAACCGAAUAGGGGAGCCGAAGGGAAACCGAGUCUUAACUGGGCGUUAAGUUGCAGGGUAUAGACCCGAAACCCGGUGAUCUAGCCAUGGGCAGGUUGAAGGUUGGGUAACACUAACUGGAGGACCGAACCGACUAAUGUUGAAAAAUUAGCGGAUGACUUGUGGCUGGGGGUGAAAGGCCAAUCAAACCGGGAGAUAGCUGGUUCUCCCCGAAAGCUAUUUAGGUAGCGCCUCGUGAAUUCAUCUCCGGGGGUAGAGCACUGUUUCGGCAAGGGGGUCAUCCCGACUUACCAACCCGAUGCAAACUGCGAAUACCGGAGAAUGUUAUCACGGGAGACACACGGCGGGUGCUAACGUCCGUCGUGAAGAGGGAAACAACCCAGACCGCCAGCUAAGGUCCCAAAGUCAUGGUUAAGUGGGAAACGAUGUGGGAAGGCCCAGACAGCCAGGAUGUUGGCUUAGAAGCAGCCAUCAUUUAAAGAAAGCGUAAUAGCUCACUGGUCGAGUCGGCCUGCGCGGAAGAUGUAACGGGGCUAAACCAUGCAC